RNAcentral lists this long non-coding RNA (939 nucleotides) under Brassica rapa (field mustard). RNAcentral's name for it is "long non-coding RNA (BRAP_LNC000728)". The record is from RNAcentral. Lineage: Eukaryota; Viridiplantae; Streptophyta; Magnoliopsida; Brassicales; Brassicaceae.
UUUUCUUGUGUUCUCCUUCAAGACGACGACGACUGCGUUCAUGAAAGAGGCCUCUCCACCGUUCAAUCGGCGUCUCCACCGUUCAAUCGACGUCUCUUCCGUUUAAUCGGCGUCUCGUCUGUGCAAUUGACGUCUCCUCCGUGCAAUCGACGUCUUCUCUGACUUUCCCUUGUCUCGUCUGCUCCGCCGCUAAAAGGCGUCUCCUUCACUGGUCUUCUCCGUCGCGAAGGAAAGUGAUUGAUUAGGUGGUGAUUAGAUGAUGCCACCCCAUCUCCUCUAUCUUCUGAUCGGUGAGAUCCUUUUGAUAUUCACACUUAAUACGAUUGAUUAGGUGGUGAUUAGAUGAUGAGAUUGAACCUUGAUUUGAAUUUUUUUAGGGAGGAGGCAGAUGGGGUCCGAUCCUUGUUGGCUAAUUACGUGGUGAUAGAUGAUGAGAUUGAACCUUGUUGGCUAAUUAGUGAGGCUUGUUCUUGUUCUUGUUAAAAACAAGUGUUCUGUUUUCAUUUAAGUUAAAAUGUUGGCUAAUUAGUGUCGCUUGUUCUUGUUGUGGUUUCCGUUUAAGUGGCUUGUUCUUGUUCUCUUUUAAUUGUGUUGUUGCUUUAAGUGUAUUGUUCUUGUAAGGAAGAAUCUCUGUUGGUGUUGUGUAAUGAAGAGUCUCUGUUGUUGCUUUAACUGUAUUGAUCUUGUUAUAUUUUUUUGUGCUCUUUUCUUGUGUGUAAAUGCAGGUAACAUGCACAAGACGAGUUAUGAGCUUGGAAGAGAUGAGUUGGAGGAGAUGAGUCAUGAACCCCUAAUUUUAUUUUUUUAAAAACCCCUAAUUAAGAAACUUCCAAUAAAGCAUAAAAUCUAUGGGAUUCUUAACUACAUUUCUUAAAUAACUUUUAUUCUUAAAUUAAUCACUAAGAAACCCAAAUGGGGUUAUAGCAAUAAUGGUGCUCU